This is a long non-coding RNA of Megalobrama amblycephala (Wuchang bream), 3131 nucleotides long. RefSeq lists it as uncharacterized. The record is from RefSeq and is a predicted model, not a curated record. The transcript has 9 exons. NCBI's taxonomy places the organism in Eukaryota, Metazoa, Chordata, Actinopteri, Cypriniformes, Xenocyprididae.
AACAUUUCUUUGUCUUUUGUGAGGACUUACUUUGGAAUCCUUUUUCCAGCAAUUUCGGGUUCUGAAUUUAUGUCGGAUGUAUAGCUGGCCUUCUUCCAGUUGUUGGCUACAUUUUGAAAAGAUGCUGAAAAAUGAAAUACAGGAUUCUUGUUUUAUGCCGGGUCCACCCCUUCUCUGGCUGUGGUGUCUCCAUGAUUUUAACACUCUUUAACAGCCUGUCAAUGUCUUUAUAUGGUGGCCACCAGGAGUAUCCGUCAGCAUACCAGGACUUGGCAACUGGUCCAGUCGUCCCUUCUCCCUCAAACUCCACUAUUAGGAUGAAGAUUCCCACAAAAAGCAGCAAGAAGUUUUUGUACACCUCUGUGCCUACAAGUGAGAGGACCCAUCUUCAACCACAAGUGGAGAAGUCUUCUCAUGAUUCCGAGGCACACUAGGUGCAUGUAAUCGAGGGGGAUGCCAGAGACCAUGUCCAGGGAAGUUUGUUCAAGGGGUGACAUGCCAUGAUGGUGAUCAGAAUCGGUCUUGUUUCUGAAGCUCUCAUUGGUUCUUAGAGGCAUGUCGCUUCUUGGAAAUGUCAUCCUGUUUUCCAGGUACACUCCAUCCUGUGUGCAUUUUUCACAUCCAUGAUAGCCUGUGUGACCUUUGAUGUUUUUUAGGAAUGCACAAGCAGGUGCGUCGCAAACCAUCGAAGAAAGUUGUAAAGCUAACCUCACUCCUUCAAACUCAAAUCCAUUACCCAAUUCAUUUACUUCCGUGAUGAAGUCUUCAAGAUACUCGGUCAGUGAGGUAGGUUUACCUGUGCCACAAAAUAAACCUAUUGUCACUGGUUCUUCUUGUCUGAUAUUUUGCAGUGUUCCAAGAAUGGGCCAGAACUGUGUUGACGAACUCUUGUAGAGUGGCAGACCAUCGAUGUUGACCUGAAGCUCCAAUGUGUGAAUGUUGGUCAGAAUCUUGACAUUCUGAUGUAGCACCUCUGUGAUUGAAUUUAGUACUCCAAAAUGGUAAUACUGGCCACCAGCUUUGCGUUGUAUUUGAGGGUUCCCACGCACCGUUCCUAGCAACGUUCUUGAGUCUUUUGGCAGAUUUAAACUAUGUUGACGUAGUAUGUUUAGUAAUGAAUUUAAUGCCACGUGUGAGAUUUUGUUUUCAGUAGCCCAGGUUGCCAAAUCUUCUCCUAGGGAAGUUGGAUCGGUUUCAGACUCUGACUCGGGGUCAGAUUCACUGUCAUCAAGAAGACUUGCCAUAUUGACAGCUUCAGUCUCGUCAAUCUGAGAGAGACAGUCCAUAAAUGUGUCUUCAUCAUCGAUUUGACAUUGACAGGGGUUAUGGCAUGCGAUUGGCUCUUCGCUGCUGAUGUCACACUGUCAAGUGCGCGCGCUCCAAGAACUCCAGUUCAAAUCCCAAGUCGACGGAUGGACGGAGUUUGAUCGGCGUCAUGGCUCCUUCUGUGAUUCACCAAAGCGCGUCUGAAUUCAAGCUGGAAACGGCCUGCGCUUGGUCUGUCCCAGGGUGUCAUCGUCACUCACGAAGUGCAUUUUAUUCUGCUUACCUGACUCACGCAGAAUUCUGUCCUGUUUGGUUUCCAUCAUCCAGACACUCUGGCAACUGGGCUGUGUAUGGAGGCCACCAUUUUCUCCCACAAACUCCACUCUCAGGCGAUCAAAAACGACAGACUGUAUAAAACCCAACCGCUAGAUGUCAGUGUUAUCUCAGAACGUAAACUGACGUGGAGCCGGAGAAGUGCGAGCUUUGGAGAUGGUUCAGCCUAGAUGCUCAGAUCUACCACUGGUCCAGCUUCAUUCCCACAUCUGGCACCAACGAUUCAUUAAGUGCAGUCCAUAACCAGUGUCUGCACCUUGUCCAUUGCAAAUGUUAUGGAUUGUUCUAUUAGAGCUCAUUAUAAUCUUUGAGACUGGUGUUAUGUAAAGGCUGUUGUGUGUUGUGAGUAAAGUUCACCCCCCUGUAAAAACAGUUUCCCUUAGUUGUGAGAAUAUUUUACCUUCAUGCUCUCAGCAGUUCCUACAUUUUAAAGUGUCUUUUUAUUAUUAUUUUUUUUAUUAUUGAAAUAUUGUUUUAAUGUUCAAUCAACUUUGGGACAUAAUCAACUCUGGGAAGUUAGUAUCAUUAAUUCUGUAAGGUGCUUUGAAUCAAAUGAAUAUUUGUAUAGCGUGUUUCCUCCAAAGGCUGCUUUCUCAUUCCUCAAACAUCAAAAAGGUUCACCUUUGGUUUGCUCAUUGGAGUUUGUAAGCAUCAUUAUUUGGAACAAAAUAUGAAAAUGGCUCGGUGUUAUACUAUUUCAGUGCAUGGCAGAGAGUCGAAGAACCACCUGACACAAAGCCAUGGAUCACCCCCUUAUACAGAGCAUGGUAGGCUAUGAGGGGUCAAAUUCAUGCUUUCUGCAUUACGAAAUUAUGUGAACAACACCUAAUAAGCAGGUAGAAUUACCAUUUGCUUGAAACGAGCUUACCUUAACUUGGCUGGCAAAUUUUUUUGUAUUUUUUGUUUUUUGUUUUUUGUCUGAGGGAUCAAACAAAGGGAUAGAUGACCAAACUGGCUGUUUUACAUUAUGGGUUCCAGAAAGUGUUCAUAUGAGCUUGUAUUUUUAUUAGUAUUAUAAUUUAUAUAUUCUGAUUUGUAAUCAGAAGUCACCCUUUGCAAAUCAUUUAAAGCAUUUUAAAAAUUAAAUCCAUGAAUGCAGUGCUUAUCAUGAGUGCCUUUUUGAUUAUUCUGAGCCAAAAGCUAUUUAAGUGUACAGAGCCACUGACAUCCUGAAGUAAUCUUUGAAAUGCUCGGGUGAUGAGGUGAAUUCUCCUGUCUCUCUAUGCAAUCUCGGGAUUGAAUGGACCCAAUACUUCCUGUUUCUUUUUCUCUUUUUAAGAAGAGAGGAGACAACUUAAUUGUGCUCACUGCUGCUUGAAGACUUCAUUUUGUAUUGUUUUGCGAUUUGUUUAAAAUAUGCCCCAGACAGGGUGGGUGGAGGUGGCAGGAAAAAAAGCUGUGAAUAAAACUGAUGUUAAUAUGUUUUGAAAAAUAUUCAGUUCAAUAAGGUUGGUGUUAAAAUUAAAUUAUUUUGAAAAUGUUCUGUUCCAAUAAUGGUAAUAAAACAAAUAAAUAAAUCAUAUUUGUUGUAA